GUCUAUGGCCAUGCCACCCUGAACAAGGCAGAUGUCUGAUCUCGGAAGCUAAGCAGGGUUGGGCCUGGUUAGUACUUGGAUGGGAGACCACCUAGGAAGAUCAGGUGCUGUAGGCA
This 116-nucleotide ribosomal RNA is filed under the name Pteropus alecto (black flying fox). Lineage: Eukaryota; Metazoa; Chordata; Mammalia; Chiroptera; Pteropodidae. The record is from RNAcentral.